GCGCAGCAGUCGCGAAUUUUUCUCAAUGGGGGCAACCCUGAAGGAGCGACGCCGCGUGGAGGGUGAAGGCUUUCGGGUUGUAAACUCCUGUCAUUUGAGAACAAGUGUAGCCAAGUAACUACUGGCUACUUGAUAGUAUCAGAAGAGGAAGGGACGGCUAACUCUGUGCCAGCAGCCGCGGUAAUACAGAGGUCCCAAGCGUUGUUCGGAUUCAUUGGGCGUAAAGGGUGCGUAGGUAGCGUGGUAAGUCGGGUGUGAAAUUUCGGAGCUUAACUUCGAAACUGCAUUCGAUACUGCCGUGCUUGAGGACUGGAGAGGAGACUGGAAUUUACGGUGUAGCAGUGAAAUGCGUAGAGAUCGUAAGGAAGACCAGUGGCGAAGGCGGGUCUCUGGACAGUUCCUGACACUGAGGCACGAAGGCUAGGGGAGCAAACGGGAUUAGAUACCCGUGUAGU
Molecule: ribosomal RNA, 455 nt
Filed under: uncultured organism
Description: bacterial SSU rRNA
Rfam family: Bacterial small subunit ribosomal RNA
Source: RNAcentral